UUUUACAUUAUGUUAUUCUAAUAUGGACGGUAGAAUCUAGAUUGUUAAAUACUUUUUAGUACUGUGAUCGUUUUAAGGUUUUACUGCUGAAUAAUUGAAGUUUUCUCUGUAGUGAUUGGACCUUGCAAUACAUCCAUUUUGUGUUAGCCUGAGUUGUUUAAAUCGAAACCCCUUCCAGGAAUCGUUCAGAUCCUAAACGUAGAUAAAGUUACUGAGCAUCUGGACAAUAUUUGAAAGAUCUUUAAGGAAAAUGGAGGACAGAAGAUAGUUAACAAAAUGUAAUUAAGGGAGGAUUCAGAUCUUAUUCUGACUUGUUUAAUCUGCCAUAGUGGAGGUUCUAUAUGUAGAUCAUAAUGGAUCAAAUAGCUUAAGGAAAAUGAUAUAGUCUUCAAGUAUAAGUCACAAUAAGCAAAAAAUUAUAAGAGGCAUUGUAUUUUAUGAGGAAAACAUUUUUAAUGCUUGAAUCUAAUGAGAGUGACGGGUUUGCUCAUCUUAAAAGCGUCAGACAAGAAUAUUUUGUCAUUCGCAUGACUCAAUGAUAAUAGGCUUGUAUAAGGUUUGGCCUUAAAUCCUUACCUUUGUCCCACUAGUUAUGGACGAGCUUGCAAGACUUAUUGAAGAUGAGGAUUCUAAGUGCAUUUUGUUUGAUAGUGAUAUAGUUUUGACUGAGGAGACAUUAUAUGGUAAGUCAGAAGUACUUUGGAAUCUAAAAGUCAUAUGCUCAUUUAUUAGUUGGAGAAGUAAGGAUUAUAGUGGAGUUAGGGACGAUAGAUUAUCAAGUUGUCUCAAAAAGUGAUUAUUUUUAGGUAUUUAGAUUUUAUUAUUGAAAAGGAAAGAAGGAUUGGAGAGAAGUUGUAAUGAUAAGAUUAGAGUGGGCUGCAUGAAAUGUUCGAAAGCUGCAAGAGUUAGAAAGAUUCCAUUAAGGUUAAAAGGCAAAAUCUACAUACCAGUUAUUAGACCAGCUAUGCUCAUAGCUCUUAUGUUCAUGAGAGGAUUGCAGUAGAAAUGAGGACGAAAGAUGGACGUGCAGCCAUUUAAGAUGGACAAAAAAUGAGCAUAUGCGUAAAUAAAGUGAAGGUGGGGCUGAUCGAGGAUAAUUUAAGGGAUUUUUAGCAGAAAUGAGGAUGCAAGUUGACAUACAGCCAUACUAAGAUGAAUAAUAAGAUAAAAAAUGAGAAUAUGUUUCUACAAGUUAAGGUAGAUGAUCGAGUAUAAAUUAAGUCAAACGAAGGUUUAGGUGGUUGGGUCAUGUUUUAGGGCAACCUAAAGAGGCCUCUAGUCAUAAGACUCAUGCGAUUUGGUUGAAUAGUUAGAAGAGGGAGGAGUAACUUGGUUUGUGCUAGUUGCUAAGGAUCUUGUUGAUUUAGAUCUCCCAUUAGAUCUAGCAAAGAACAUAACAGAAUGACAAAGAAGGAUUCACGUUUGUUGCUUAACCCUGGGAUGUAGAAAAUUUCUAGGUAGAUAAUGGAAGCAAUAUACCAAACUUGUUUUUUGUUAUCCAUUUUUACAAUUUGUUGAAAUCACAAUGAAGUAGUUACUGAUGAAGCCCCUGUUUGGCCCCCUUUAAAACUCAUCAAUUUAAUUUAAAUUUUUCUCUCUUCUAUUUUCAACCACAAAAUCUUUAAUAAAAUAAUAUUACACGUAAAUUGAAAAUUUUUCAUUCUUUUACAACCAUCUAUUUAAAUAAAUAAAUAAAAAAAAAAAAAAAAAAAAACUAUUCCCCCCAUUAUAAAUCCAAAUAAUGGGGGCCAAACGGGGGCGAAAUUAUAUCAGAAGGGUAUCAAGUAAUGCCCAAAAGAUAUUCACAAUUGUAAUGUAUUUCAAUUUGCUUGUUUAAAAUAAGGGAUUAGACGAGUUAAAUAAUCUUAAUGCUUUUAUACAUUUUUGUGAGCAUCUUUUGUGCUCUGGUGUUGUGGACUUGGAUGGUUAAGGUCCCUACUCAAUGUCUAUAAUUUUUUAUUGUAUAUGAGCAUAUUUAAUUGUUGAAUCCUCUAAUCCAUCUCUAACAUUCUUUGCUUUCAAAAUAACGAAAAUUGGCUUCUGUCCC
RNAcentral lists this long non-coding RNA (2047 nucleotides) under Olea europaea (common olive). Its description in RNAcentral is "long non-coding RNA (OEUR_LNC009125)". Lineage: Eukaryota; Viridiplantae; Streptophyta; Magnoliopsida; Lamiales; Oleaceae. The record is from RNAcentral.